RNAcentral lists this ribosomal RNA (408 nucleotides) under uncultured bacterium. RNAcentral describes it as "partial 16S ribosomal RNA". It matches the Rfam family "Bacterial small subunit ribosomal RNA", at positions 28 to 526 of the family's 1533-position model. The record is from RNAcentral.
GACGAACGCUGGCGGCGUGCUUAACACAUGCAAGUCGAACGAAGUGGCGGACGGGUGAGUAACGCGUAAUCAACCUGCCCUUCCGAGGGGGACACCAGUUGGAAACGACUGCUAAUACCGCAUACUGAAGGAGGGGAUUGCGUCUGAUUAGGUAGUGGGGGGGGUAACGGCCCACCAAGGCGAGGAUCAGGCGCCGGUCUGGGAGGGUGAACGGCCAAAAUGGGACGGAGACACGGCCCAGAAUCCGACGGGAGGCAGCAGUGGGGAAGCUUCCGAAAUGGACGAAAGUCUGACGGAGCAACGCCGCGUGGGUGAUGACGGCCUUCGGGGUGUAAAGCUCUGUUAAUCGGGACGCGGUACCGGAAUAGAAAGCCACGGCUAACUACGUGCCAGCAGCCGCGGUAAUAC